Long non-coding RNA from Temnothorax curvispinosus, 550 nucleotides. RefSeq lists it as uncharacterized. The transcript is spliced from 4 exons. Lineage: Eukaryota; Metazoa; Arthropoda; Insecta; Hymenoptera; Formicidae. The record is from RefSeq and is a predicted model, not a curated record.
UUUGCGAAUUGCUCAUUUAAAUGUCAUUGAAAUUCAGGAUAUUGCAAUAAUCGGAUUUAUUUUUGCAGAUGGUGUCAGAUGCUAUGACGAAGGGUGAGAAUUAAGAUCGAUCUGAAGUUUACUAUCUACAAGAUGGAAUGUAAAAGCUGAGACGUGAAGAGCAGAGCGUAAUACUCCUCCAGUCGUAUGAACGGAAGGCACAUACGUACUCUCGAAGAGCAGCGGCGCGGCGGCUAAUAACAGGACAAGUGACAAAUAUAUCGGCUCGGAAUAUGGAAGGCAAAGAUUCCUCGAAAAUAAAUCGUCUAGAGGUGCUGAAAAUGGAAUAUGCGGACAAGCAACGUAAAUAAAGGUAAUUCGCCCACCUUGAAGUUUUAACAAAAGCGCAGCAGGAUGUAUAGCACAUGGCAGACAUCUGAACGAAAGUAGCACCAACAACCAUUAGGACCAAAGAAUAUAAUGAUUUUUGUAAUAUUUCUAAAAAUGUUCUAUUGCGACGAAGGAAUUUUCUUCUUUAUUCGAAGACAUAAAAGAAACUGCUUUGUAAUAA